AAAAAACUUGUAAAAAAUAAUAAAUGAAUAUAUCCUAUACAUAUUCAAUGUAGCAAAAAAACAAGAGGUUCCUCGAGUUUCUUUCUUUCCGAUCUAGUUAUUCUCUCUACAAGAAAUGUACACAACUCUCGUCAUCUCGUGAAGAACCAUCAAGUGCAUAUGGAUGUGUAAAUUUGAAAAUGAAGAAGAGGCAACACAAGCUUAAGAAUCAAAUAGAACGACUAAUAUCCCAGAGAAAAGGUGCAAAAUUAGUCAUGGUCACGUGUUACCAGCACUCCCGGGAGGACCAUUGGUUGAUUUGAAUUUUGAAAGUUCAACUAGGUCCCCGAACAAUUUGUCUUGUGGCUUUGAGGGCUUUCCGGGUGGCACAUAGGAAGGAGUGGGAACUUGAUAAGAACUGUGGUGUACACCAUUGUCACUCAUAGAGAGCCCAGACAUUCCUUGGUUUAGGAAUUGGGUAUUUUGUUGUUGAGCAUUACCAUAACCAUAGCUCGCCAUUUGGUUGCCAUACAUCUGCUGGGAAUACAUAUAAACCAUUUGUCCAGGUGGCAUUUGUUGUGGAUACAUACCCGCAGGUUGUCCACCUUGGAAUUGUUGUUGAGGAUGUAAGCCUUCCAUCUGAUUGCUUUGCAUGGCCUGAUUGUUCAUCAUACCUGUCUGUCCACCUUGGAAUUGUUGUUGAGGAUGUAAGCCUUCCAUCUGAUUGCUUUGCAUGGCCUGAUUGUUCAUCAUACCUGUC
Molecule: unclassified non-coding RNA, 739 nt
Filed under: Hevea brasiliensis (rubber tree)
Lineage: Eukaryota; Viridiplantae; Streptophyta; Magnoliopsida; Malpighiales; Euphorbiaceae
Source: RNAcentral